AGACAUUGUUUAGACAGUGCCUGUCUUGAAAACAGGUCAUUGAGGGUGCAAUUCCCUCAUGUCUU
Molecule: transfer RNA, 65 nt
Filed under: Proales similis
Lineage: Eukaryota; Metazoa; Rotifera; Eurotatoria; Ploima; Proalidae
Description: tRNA-Ser
Rfam family: tRNA
About the family: Transfer RNA (tRNA) molecules are approximately 80 nucleotides in length. Their secondary structure includes four short double-helical elements and three loops (D, anti-codon, and T loops).
Source: RNAcentral